AGCGAACGCUGGCGGCAGGCUUAACACAUGCAAGUCGAACGGGCACUUCGGUGCUAGUGGCAGACGGGUGAGUAACACGUGGGAACGUACCUUUCGGUUCGGAAUAAUACAGGGAAACUUGUACUAAUACCGGAUACGCCCUUCGGGGGAAAGAUUUAUCGCCGAUUGAUCGGCCCGCGUCUGAUUAGCUAGUUGGUGAGGUAAUGGCUCACCAAGGCGACGAUCAGUAGCUGGUCUGAGAGGAUGAUCAGCCACACUGGGACUGAGACACGGCCCAGACUCCUACGGGAGGCAGCAGUGGGGAAUAUUGGACAAUGGGCGCAAGCCUGAUCCAGCCAUGCCGCGUGUGUGAUGAAGGCCUUAGGGUUGUAAAGCACUUUUGUCCGGGAAGAUAAUGACUGUACCGGAAGAAUAAGCCCCGGCUAACUUCGUGCCAGCAGCCGCGGUAAUACGAAGGGGGCUAGCGUUGCUCGGAAUCACUGGGCGUAAAGGGCGCGUAGGCGGACUCUUAAGUCGGGGGUGAAAGCCCAGGGCUCAACCCUGGAAUUGCCUUCGAUACUGAGAGUCUUGAGUUCGGAAGAGGUUGGUGGAACUGCGAGUGUAGAGGUGAAAUUCGUAGAUAUUCGCAAGAACACCAGUGGCGAAGGCGGCCAACUGGUCCGAUACUGACGCUGAGGCG
RNAcentral lists this ribosomal RNA (679 nucleotides) under uncultured bacterium. RNAcentral's name for it is "bacterial SSU rRNA". It matches the Rfam family "Bacterial small subunit ribosomal RNA", at positions 28 to 753 of the family's 1533-position model. The record is from RNAcentral.